RNAcentral lists this ribosomal RNA (239 nucleotides) under uncultured Staphylococcus sp. Its description in RNAcentral is "partial 16S ribosomal RNA". It matches the Rfam family "Bacterial small subunit ribosomal RNA", at positions 102 to 334 of the family's 1533-position model. Lineage: Bacteria; Bacillati; Bacillota; Bacilli; Caryophanales; Staphylococcaceae. The record is from RNAcentral.
GACGGGUGAGUAACACGUGGAUAACCUACCUAUAAGACUGGGAUAACUUCGGGAAACCGGAGCUAAUACCGGAUAAUAUAUUGAACCGCAUGGUUCAAUAGUGAAAGACGGUUUUGCUGUCACUUAUAGAUGGAUCCGCGCCGCAUUAGCUAGUUGGUAAGGUAACGGCUUACCAAGGCAACGAUGCGUAGCCGACCUGAGAGGGUGAUCGGCCACACUGGAACUGAGACACGGUCCAG